Molecule: ribosomal RNA, 253 nt
Filed under: uncultured bacterium
Lineage: Bacteria
Description: partial 16S ribosomal RNA
Rfam family: Bacterial small subunit ribosomal RNA
Source: RNAcentral
UACAGAGAGUGCAAGCGUUGUUCGGAAUUAUUGGGCGUAAAGCGCGUGUAGGCGGCCUUGCAAGUCGGGUGUGAAAGCCCUCAGCUCAACUGAGGAAGUGCGCCCGAAACUGCUUGGCUUGAGUACCGGAGAGGAUGGUGGAAUUCCCGAAGUAGAGGUGAAAUUCGUAGAUAUCGGGAGGAACACCGGUGGCGAAGGCGACCAUCUGGACGGAUACUGACGCUGAGACGCGAAAGCGUGGGUAGCAAACAGG